Molecule: small RNA, 39 nt
Filed under: Arabidopsis thaliana (thale cress)
Lineage: Eukaryota; Viridiplantae; Streptophyta; Magnoliopsida; Brassicales; Brassicaceae
Description: ATSL053540
Source: RNAcentral
UGACUACACCGUCUAUAAUCUCAGGCUCAAUAAGUGGUU